UAACGCGUGAGGAACCUGCCUCAAAGAGGGGGACAACAGUUGGAAACGACUGCUAAUACCGCAUGACGCAUAGAGGUCGCAUGGUCUUUAUGCCAAAGAUUUAUCGCUUCAAGAUGGCCUCGCGUCUGAUUAGCUAGUUGGCGGGGUAACGGCCCACCAAGGCGACGAUCAGUAGCCGGACUGAGAGGUUGAACGGCCACAUUGGGACUGAGAUACGGCCCAG
This 223-nucleotide ribosomal RNA is filed under the name uncultured bacterium. RNAcentral's name for it is "partial 16S ribosomal RNA". It matches the Rfam family "Bacterial small subunit ribosomal RNA", at positions 111 to 334 of the family's 1533-position model. The record is from RNAcentral.